UGCUUAUAUGCAUUAAAUAAAAAAAUACAAAACUUCAUGCACCGCAUGCAGUUUUCUGCAUAUGAUCAGAAAUAUAGGGUUCGAGUAUACAGGGGGGCUAGCAAGAAAUUAAAUAACAUUAUACGUAAUGAAAC
Molecule: long non-coding RNA, 134 nt
Organism: Octopus sinensis (East Asian common octopus)
Lineage: Eukaryota; Metazoa; Mollusca; Cephalopoda; Octopoda; Octopodidae
Exons: 4
Source: RefSeq, a predicted model, not a curated record